Molecule: ribosomal RNA, 882 nt
Filed under: uncultured eubacterium KEppib35
Lineage: Bacteria
Description: bacterial SSU rRNA
Rfam family: Bacterial small subunit ribosomal RNA
Source: RNAcentral
CAGCAGCCGCGGUAAUACGGAGGAUCCAAGCGUUGUCCGGAUUUAUUGGGUUUAAAGGGUGCGUAGGCGGACUAAUAAGUCAGAGGUGAAAGUUUGCAGCUUAGCUGUAAAAUUGCCUUUGAAACUGCUAGUCUUGAGUAUAGUUGAGGUGGGCGGAAUGUGUCAUGUAGCGGUGAAAUGCUUAGAUAUGAUACAGAACACCGAUUGCGAAGGCAGCUCACUAAACUAUAACUGACGCUGAGGCACGAAAGCGUGGGGAGCGAACAGGAUUAGAUACCCUGGUAGUCCACGCCCUAAACGUUGAAUACUCGUUGUUAGCGAUAUACUGUUAGCGACUAAGCGAAAGCAUUAAGUAUUCCACCUGGGGAGUACGACCGCAAGGUUGAAACUCAAGGGAAUUGACGGGGGCCCGCACAAGCGGAGGAGUAUGUGGUUUAAUUCGAUGAUACGCGAGGAACCUUACCUGGGCUUGAAAGUUAGUGACCGAUUCCGAAAGGAGUCUUUCCUUCGGGCACAAAACUAGGUGCUGCAUGGCUGUCGUCAGCUCUGCCCUGAGGUGUUGGGUUAAGUCCCCAACGAGCGCAACCCCUAUCUUUAGUUACCAUCAGGUUAUGCUGGGCACACUAGAGAGACUGCCUACGUAAGUAGUGAGGAAGGUGGGGACGACGUCAAGUCAUCAUGGCCCUUACGUCCAGGGCUACACACGUACUACAAUGGCGGGUACAAUGAGUUGCCACUUGGCAACAAGGGGCCAAUCUCAAAAAACCCGCCUCAGUUCGGAUUGGAGUCUGCAACUCGACUCCAUGAAGUUGGAUUCGCUAGUAAUCGCAUAUCAGCAAUGAUGCGGUGAAUACGUUCCCGGGCCUUGUACACACCGCCCGU